Molecule: long non-coding RNA, 8365 nt
Filed under: Xyrichtys novacula (pearly razorfish)
Lineage: Eukaryota; Metazoa; Chordata; Actinopteri; Labriformes; Labridae
Source: RNAcentral
AUUUUACAGCGUCUCCACUGUUUUGUAAUUGGGGUCGUAAGUGUCUUUAGCUUUGCAGAUUUGCUUUAAUCGUAUUUUAAACUCAUCAGUGAAUUUCCUCUAAUAAACAGAGAUUCGCUGUUAAAAAUAGGAGAGUAAGUAGGCCAGUAUAAACUGCUGUUGAUGAAGGCUGUGUUAAUUUAUUUGCUAUCUCUAGUUAAAGUUAAUGUGAAACUUUGUCUUUAUGAAUCACACCAAAGCAGAGAUUUCCAUUCAUGCUGUCAUCGCCAAAGGCUUUAUUCCUCAGACUGGGAUUUCUCUCUUUUUAAACAAGUGACAGACAGUAUGUUCAGCUUCAGGUGAACUCUAGUAACCUCUGCAUGCUAGAGCAACUUCCACUAAAGCCCAGUAAGAUAUUUACCUCCCCAAACCAGGCUUAACCUCCACAAAUCUCCUUACAAUGGGGUUAUGGGAGGAUACAAACAAAGACCGCAGAGUUCAAGGGCCACAAAUUGGGGCCGGAGAAAUGUUUCUGUCGCUGACCAACCUCAGCAGCGCGGUUAGCCGUGUCAUUUUCCUGUCCCGUCUUUGUGAUAGAUGGAUAGUGGUGAACCUCAGAGGAAAUCUCACAUUGCUGUGUGUACGCACACGCACUCAACGAUCGCACAAAUGCGUGUGCCAAGCCCUCGGAUGCCUCUCAGCGAGCCUGUGUACAAAUGAAAUGUGUGGGCACGCUGCGUUCCUCUAGAGGCAGGAUGCUGUUUCCACAUCCUUUUCUCUGCCUAUAAUUAGCCGUCCUGAUAAAACACCGGUUUGCUGGCGCUUGCAGGAUCAAACAAUGACGAGCAGGCAGCUCUCUUCACAGCACACUGCAGACGCCAGGUGGCUGUCCUUGAGCUGAGAGCUGGGCUAUAUGCGGUACGCAUCUGGAGGGCAAUUAAUCAGAGAAAAGCAAUUGUGAUAUGAUAUGAUACCACCCUUGCAAUCAUAAUUACCAGAGACAGAGUCCUUGUGAGUCAUGUAAGAUUAGAUUCCUGAUAUUAAGUGGAUUGGUAAAUACUAAGGAGGUUUUGUCAGGAUUCCAAUUUUGCAUUUUCACUGACUCAUGUCAUUAAGGUGCCCUGAGCGCACUGUUAGAAACUGAAUCUAUUACAGCCAUCCUCAGCCUCAGCGCGCCUCCUUCUUCCCCCCCAAGCUCUAUUUACACAAAUAAAGCUGCACAAACACACAGGCCAGAACACACAAACACACAACACUCUGUUUAAAUCAGCGGUCAAGUUUGGGACUGUGGGAAAAUCACUGUGUUUGUCCUAAAAUAUGAGGAAGAGUGGAGACUCCUCUAACCUUUCAGCUAUUUUUUUAAUGAAUCAGAAUUUCAUCAGAAUAAAUUAUCAAAAGCAGAGAAAGCAGGAGUGAAAUCUGAUUGAGCGCUCUUCAAUCCUAAAUUGUUAUUGGCUGUUUGCCAUAUUGAAACCAUCAGCUUUUCAAUGUGGAACUUUUUCUUUUAAAUAGUAAUUUUAGACGAACCACUAAAGGUUGUUAAACACCAGUGAAUUAGUGAAGUGACGUGAAAAGAUAGAUAGAUAGAUGUACUUUAUUGAUCCCAAACUGGGAAAUUCUCUAAAUAUUCUAAAUAAAAUAUUCGGCUUAGGUCUAUUCCUAACCACACCUGGUGCAAUGCAAAUAAAAUUUGCAUAUCACAAAGCCACAUGUCUGAUAGAUUUCUGUCUAUAGAUUUAUAUAAUUACAAUUGCUUUUUCGCUCUGUUGAAGUUCGUAGCUGUUGUGGAAGCUUGCAUUGACUUUAACAGGUUUAAAAAAAAAAAAAGUGAAUUAUUCGCUUCGCAAAUUCGCCUUGCUGAUUCGCCGGUGUGUAACGACCUUUACUCGCUUAACUUUUGAAAUUCUAAAUCAUGUGAAUACGACAUUUCAGAUACGCCCCUUAUGUUUAUCUAUAAUUAGAUAGAGGCUUCAAUCCCCCAAAAUCAAAACAGUUUUUCUGUCUUGUUGGAUCUUGUUUUUUUUUUAUUGUCACUUCUAUUGUUUUUUUUUUUACAUUAUCUGUGUGAGCAAAAGGGGCGGUGUAGACACCAGAUCUGCACCUGUUUAAGACACCAUACUACGGACAAACUCCAUUUAUCUCAUACGUCAAAUGUUCUCGCUUAAAAGCCCCUCACGGUUUUCUUUUUUCCGUUUGUUCAUUCAGUUGACCUCGAAAUUAUCUCUCCAUAUAAAACAGAGAAUUACAACUGACUGUUCUGUAUUUUUUAGAUGGAUUUAAUAGAAUAUGUUCACUUAUCUAAAGGAAAAAGAGAAAAAAAGAAAAUAUGCAGGAUCUCCGUUUAUCAAUAGAUAGUUUUACUUUUGGUAGCCUAAAAGAGGUGGUCGUCUGGCUGUCGUACGUCCCCUUUAAUAGGAAGCGAUAGAUUUCUUCAUAAAAUUAAUCAAUGUUUUCUCUGAAGAACGACAAUCCCAUGAAACCGAAUGCAGUGAAAACCUCUUCCAUAAUGUCCAGACCAAACGCAAUCUUCUACGUCAUCUGAACAAACUUCCAGUCAAUCAUAUAGCGUAACGUCAUCAAUAGGCGCUGGACCCCUCGAACACGUCUGUGGUUAAAUAUGUUUUUUUUUUAACCUGAAAUACGACUCGAUCUCUCCGAAUUCUCACUGUCUAUUGUCUGUGUCGCCGAUCAUGAAUUAGGGAGCUGUGAAAUGACCGCAGUGUGCCGGAUUAAUUUCCAUACGGUCCCUAGAGACACUCUGUGAAUCUCCCCUUGAGAUUAAAUCUGCUGAGGGGGGGAAAAAAAAAGAAAGAGCACGUUCAGAGUGAAAUGUAAAAGUAGGUUACAGGUGGGAGGUUGCAGCGGUGUCGCCCUGCGCUUGCAGCUUUCAUUUAAAUGUCAAGACAUACCCGUGGAAAGACUGACCUUAUUUUUCUCCCUACCAUCGACUGUGAAUCGGUUUGUAUGCAGCUGACAGGACUAUCAUUAUGUAGAAAUUCACUUUAAAUAUAUAAGUCCGAGCUGUCAAUAGAAAAUGAAAUAGUUGUUGAUCAGACUGCUUUCUAAAAGCUGCCAAAUCACCAAUUCCUCUGAGUUUCCUCUGAACUUUUUACUUCUAAAACCUCCAUCAAGGCCGCCCCGCAUUGACAGCAAACUCAUUCAUGAUGUCUGGUGGCCGACCGCCUCGGGCUGAGAGCCGCGGCGCUAAAUUGACAAUUUUGGCUUUGUGUGGUGGAAGCUUUUGUGAUAAAGAGCAACACUCAGUGUAAACUGUCAUUAAAGAGCCAGUACUUCACUUACACUUUGAAACCCUGUCGACUGCUCCAACACAAAUGGCAAAAAAAAAAAAAAGAGGUUAUAAUUGGCCGUCAUAAAGGGAAAAGGGUCGCUCUUGCAGACUUUCACAGUAGGCGGUUUCUUUCCUUAUCCCCUCGACUCUUUCACUUCCUCGUGCUUCUAAUCAAACGGACAGUAAGAUGGAGAGAGACGGAGUCACAUGAGAAAGAGGAGCUAAUCUGGCAUGAUCAGACAGGCAGCGUGUCAAUGGACCUCACGUCAAGUAGCAGUCGUGUGAUCUCGUGAGGACGAGUUGGGUCGGUUUGAGGUCUGGGGGCGCAAAGGGGAGGAGGAGGAGGAUGGUUGGCGUUGUCUUCUCCACCGCUCAGAGGUGGUAUCUCCUCGUCUUUUGGGCGUAACCAUAAACGACAGAAUCACUUGGAAAUCACAUAUCGAGCAUGUACAAAUCAAAGUCUCAAGAAGCAUCGCAUUGGAUCACAAAUCACUUCACACUCUUUACUGUUCCCUAAUCUGAGGUUUGGGGCAACAACUAUAAAACGUCACUACAGCCACUGACCACCAUUCAAAAAAAGAGCAAUACGAGUUUUUACACAAUGUUGCCCAUCAGGAACACACACACUUCUUAUUUCUGCAAUCUAAUCUCAAAUAAUGUUUAAAGCUAAAAAUAAUCAUCUACCAAUAAAUAUACAGAAAUUAUUCAGUAUGUGAGGGAGGUUAUAGUUUAAGGGGGAAAAUUAACUUUAAUUUAAGUUUGAUUCAGACAAAGAGGAACAGUCUGUGUAUUAUUCAUCCAUUUAAUUAUUCUAUUCAAUCUAGUAAACAAAAAACGAAAAAAAAAAAAAAAAAACGAGUCAAUAUUUUGUUUGUUUUUCUAUAUAACCAAAAAAAUAAAAGGUUAGUGUUUGUUUUUGUAUUUUCAGUUCAAAACAGAAUAUUUAACAGAGAUGUAAACGAAAACAAAAUAAUGAAUCUACUUUUCAUUUCUGGGUUCUUUAUGUCCCCAUUUCCCACCGUGCCUUUCUACCGUUCGCACAUGUGCAUUGCACAAUAAAGUAGCCAACAGUGUGGAACAACAACUCCAGGCCAGAGCGGUAGAGAAAGGCUAACCUGCUGUCAUGGAGAUGGACGCAUCCUACAUAUUAUUUAAAGCCGUCAGGAGGGUCGAGCUGAAGGAGGAAGAUAUGACUGUAGAGAAAAUUACAACCAGAGCUCUGUUACAACCAAGAUUUUGGUGCUCGAACUGCUCUGUCACAACUUCGCCAUGGUAACUGUCACUGAGGAUCAUGGGAAAGCCAGUGUAGCCUCCAUGCAUGUAUGCUCAAAACAGAUGACUCAAAAUCAAUAAUUGUAAAUAAGAUUUAUUAUUUCAUUUUCAUUUCCAUCUCUAUUAUAUUUUCUGUUUUGAGCUGAAAAUAUGAAAACACAAUUUUUUCAUUUUUUAAUUAUAUAGAAAAACAAAUAAACAAAAUAUUGACUCGAGGUGCUAUGAGGUUAUAGUUUUUUUGUUUUGUUUGUUUCUUUCUUGUUUUAUUUUUUGUUGUCGUUUUAUGUUUGCGCAGUAUGAAGUGGAUGUAGAUUUUGUUUGUAAUACAAAGUCAUGAAUGUACUUUAUUUAUCAUGAUUAUCAGGUACAUCGAAACACGUACCCUCGGUGUGGGUACGUCAUAAGUUCUUCUUCUUCUCACUCCUUUUCGAAUAUGUAUUUCUAUUUUUUAAAUGUUUUGCCUUUCUUUUCUUGUUUUAAAAAAUCAAUCUUUCAGGGUUAGAGCCAAAGCAAAGCUGAAGUUUGGACGUGAUGAUGCUAUUCCACCUAUAAACCAAAAUCCUCAGCUGUUAGCAUCUCUCCAAGGAUUAGCCUCGCGGGUCAGAUUAUAAAACCAUCUGCGACAUUGGUAGGUACGUCAAAACACACGAGGCUUUUUCUAGAUUAUCCCGAGCUUUAUGGACGCUUUGCACGACAGAGACUUUCUUUUUUUUUUUUAUGUUUCCACUUGACAUGUGGGACUCUGGCGUCAUGUUGUUAAUCACAAAAUCUAACGUUCUGCAACUUUCCAGAAAGGUGGGCUGCACACAUCGGCUCUCCUGUUGUGUUUUCCUGCAGGAGUGGUCUCGUCGUGUCAAGUUUAUGUGUGAAAGAGCGAUUGCACAUUCGACUGAGCUCACACAGUGGUCAGCCUGGUGUCAGUUUCAGGGCUGUAAAGGGUUGUGGCUUUUUGGCCCGUACAGGACUGAGGUGCAGCAGGUGUCUAAGGAGACUGAGGUGAGGGUGACCUCUUCUUUUGGCCUCAUACCAAAAGCAGACGAGGGAAACAAAACUUGACAUCUCUGAGCCUUUUGUUGGCUAAAAUAAAACCCUCACUUGAGCUCUAAAGGAAAGUUAAAGGUCGCCUAUUAUGAAAAAAAAAAACACACUUUUGGGUGGUUUUACACCAGUAAUAUGCAUCCCCUUGAAUCUGACAAACACCCCCCCAUCCCGGCAUGAUAAAAUUUCAUUCUCUCUCUCUUUUGCUUUCCCCUCCUUUCUGAAAACAUGAGCGCAAAUGGGCGAAUGGAAAAGCUGUGCGGUUCUGAUGAAAUAACCGAAUAAGCCCCUCCUACAUGUUGGUGGAAGUGCCCCUGAUAAUCGUCAGCCCAGCCCUCUGAAACUUCUCCGCUGAGGUAGCGUCCACCUUUUUUGAUAUGAAAUAUCAUAUUCAUAUAUGAAAUGAUAUGAAAUAUUCUGAGGCGAAUUUUGAUGCGCCUGACUAUACACAUUAAGCGCGAUGCGAUUUUGCGACUUUCUGAGGGGAAAAAAGACGUGUCCUGGUUGGAAGCGAGAAGACUGACACAACAGCAGACUGAGUGUUUUUCAGUUCUAAUUAGACUCUAGUGUUGAGAUGUCUGUCUGUCAUGAUAGCAUGUACUGAGUCGGGGUCAGUACCAGAUAAGAACAUUAAACUAUAAUCCAUAAACGUAACGUAACAACUGAGACCGAUUAAGUUUGAGUUUACAGUUAAAAUACAUAUGGUAUGUUGUAUCUGAACAGGUUAGCUUACGAGCUAAAGUUACUUAGCACAGAUAAAAGUUCAAACAAAGACGUUUAGCAAACUGUUAAAGCACACAAACCAUCGUCAUAUGAGAAAUCCGACGCUAUGACUCUCCACAAGUUGUCCUUCAGGUCGUUAUCUUUUGUAAUAUUUGUGUCUUUUAUCUAAAAUCACUCUGUUCUCCGACACGUAAACAAUCAUCCGGUCGGCCAUGUUGGAUAUACCGGUGAAUCUGACGUCGCAACAACACGCAAUCUGAUUGGUUUGAAGUGGACACACAGUAUGCGAAACUUUAGAAAAAUCGACAUGAAACGAAUAAAUAAAUGCCACAAUAUCGCAGGACGGGAAAACUGCGCUGAUGUGAACGUUUGUAUUGACAGGAUACGGGUUCGAAAGAAAAUAUUGACGUCCGAAAUAAUCGCACAUAAAAAAGGACCUUAAUGUCGAUGGAAAUGUACCAACAACAACAACGAAAAUGUUGUAUGUGUGUGCUAACUAUUUCACCACAGACUGUUUUACUAACGAAGGACAGUUAAAAACAGGAUUCACUAAGAAGUUCAUGACAAAACCUGGAUCUGAACCGACUGUCCGUGUCAGGGACCCAACUUUAAACGUGGAAGCUGUUACUUUGACCAUUUUAUGUUGCCUUACCGCCGCCUGUAUGACUAGUGCUAGUGCUACUGCAAUCGCGUGGUUACACACGGCUCAUUCUCAUUUAAAGGUACAGGCGCAGAAUCAGCCCGCUAUCAGUGGAGCUCAAAAAGAAGAGGGUACAGGCUGGCUGAUAUCCACAGAUAAACUGGUGUUUCAGACAACAAACGAUUGUGGGACCUCUGGGACAGAUUUCAACUUGGAUAGGAGACCUUUAAACAUAUGGUUAUAUUAAAGACAUAAGCUCCAAUUUUAAAAGACGAGAGGCAAGUUUUUUGAAAAUGUGGGAACCAUUAACUUCUGUUCGCAUCAUUUUGAUUCUGCAUAUUAAAUCUAAGCAAUGAUAUAACCUGAGUAUCUCCAGGGGCGUCCUUCACAGAUCAGACAGAGCCUUCAAUCUCUCCUGAUCUUUGACUGUUUUAUGAGAAAAUUUGAUAUUUCUUCCUUGAAGCAUUUCCCUCGAGUGCUGCGAUGUUCUUUUGAGUCAAUGUUUGACCAAACACAUGCAGCGAUUCUGGUAAACGGAAAUACAAUAUCCCAGUAAUACUGGAGUCCCUACAUGCAUCAGAAAAAAAAGAUUUGUAAGCCUUGGGAGAGGAGAAACAAAGGAUCGAGUUUUCCCAUUUGCUCUCGGUAGGAAAUCUGUAAUGUGAGGGCAAAGGGCUCGCUGGGCUCUUGUCUGAUAAGUCGGGGCGUUCUGUGUUAGUUGCAUUGAUGGAAAAAAAUCCUUUAAAGGGUUUAAGUUUUCACGCUGCUGAAGUCAAUACACAUUCUCCUCUGGAUGCAGGGACAGUGUCUCCUCUUUCUCUCUCUGUCUGUCUGUCUUUGUUUCUCUCUUGGUAAUUCUUCGUUUCUCUCUGCAGCUCCACUCUCCUCCUAUCUCCCAUCUAUCUAUCACUGUUUCCACCGGCUUAUUUCUAUUUCUCACACUUUUCUCCCUCUCUUGUACUGUACCACGGUGGAGGCGCAUCAAUACGAGUGCAGAGUGGACAAUUUAUUACGACAGCAGGGGAAUGAAAAUACCAACCUGACAAUCAAUUUGCUUCUUAACUGUGUCCCGAAUCCCAAUUUAUCUCCAUUGUUGAUUUCAUCUCCUAUUUACUGGCAUGUUCUGCGUCUCAAUCAAUGAUCCACGUUCCUCCAAUUUCAUAUUUCUGUUCACUUAAACAGCCCUGUCCGAUAUUUUUGAAUGAUGCAGCGACACAAACAUACCGUGCAUGAAUAAACGCUCGGCGCAGUGAAAGUGAAAGUAUGUUAACUAAGUGGCAAACGAAGACGACAAAAAGGAGAAGAAAAAAUAACAUUCAAGGGCGUGUUGUGUUGUGUUGUGCGGUCUCUAAAGAACAGAUGCUAUUUCUGAAGUUGCAGCAUGUACGACACGUGUACUUGAUUCAUGUCGUGUGCUCAAAAAG